Molecule: ribosomal RNA, 1397 nt
Filed under: uncultured bacterium
Lineage: Bacteria
Description: bacterial SSU rRNA
Rfam family: Bacterial small subunit ribosomal RNA
Source: RNAcentral
UCAUGGCUCAGGACGAACGCUGGCGGCGUGCCUAAUACAUGCAAGUAGAACGCUGAAGAGAGGAGCUUGCUCUUCUUGGAUGAGUUGCGAACGGGUGAGUAACGCGUAGGUAACCUGCCUUGUAGCGGGGGAUAACUAUUGGAAACGAUAGCUAAUACCGCAUAACAAUAGGUGACACAUGUCAUUUAUUUGAAAGGGGCAAUUGCUCCACUACAAGAUGGACCUGCGUUGUAUUAGCUAGUAGGUGAGGUAACGGCUCACCUAGGCGACGAUACAUAGCCGACCUGAGAGGGUGAUCGGCCACACUGGGACUGAGACACGGCCCAGACUCCUACGGGAGGCAGCAGUAGGGAAUCUUCGGCAAUGGGGGCAACCCUGACCGAGCAACGCCGCGUGAGUGAAGAAGGUUUUCGGAUCGUAAAGCUCUGUUGUAAGUCAAGAACGAGUGUGAGAGUGGAAAGUUCACACUGUGACGGUAGCUUACCAGAAAGGGACGGCUAACUACGUGCCAGCAGCCGCGGUAAUACGUAGGUCCCGAGCGUUGUCCGGAUUUAUUGGGCGUAAAGCGAGCGCAGGCGGUUUGAUAAGUCUGAAGUUAAAGGCUGUGGCUCAACCAUAGUUCGCUUUGGAAACUGUCAAACUUGAGUGCAGAAGGGGAGAGUGGAAUUCCAUGUGUAGCGGUGAAAUGCGUAGAUAUAUGGAGGAACACCGGUGGCGAAAGCGGCUCUCUGGUCUGUAACUGACGCUGAGGCUCGAAAGCGUGGGGAGCGAACAGGAUUAGAUACCCUGGUAGUCCACGCCGUAAACGAUGAGUGCUAGGUGUUGGAUCCUUCCCGGGAUUCAGUGCCGCAGCUAACGCAUUAAGCACUCCGCCUGGGGAGUACGACCGCAAGGUUGAAACUCAAAGGAAUUGACGGGGGCCCGCACAAGCGGUGGAGCAUGUGGUUUAAUUCGAAGCAACGCGAAGAACCUUACCAGGUCUUGACAUCCCGAUGCUAUUUCUAGAGAUAGAAAGUUACUUCGGUACAUCGGUGACAGGUGGUGCAUGGUUGUCGUCAGCUCGUGUCGUGAGAUGUUGGGUUAAGUCCCGCAACGAGCGCAACCCCUAUUGUUAGUUGCCAUCAUUCAGUUGGGCACUCUAGCGAGACUGCCGGUAAUAAACCGGAGGAAGGUGGGGAUGACGUCAAAUCAUCAUGCCCCUUAUGACCUGGGCUACACACGUGCUACAAUGGUUGGUACAACGAGUUGCGAGUCGGUGACGGCAAGCUAAUCUCUUAAAGCCAAUCUCAGUUCGGAUUGUAGGCUGCAACUCGCCUACAUGAAGUCGGAAUCGCUAGUAAUCGCGGAUCAGCACGCCGCGGUGAAUACGUUCCCGGGCCUUGCACACACCGCCCGUC